AUGGCUUCUUUCAACCCAAAAAACUCAUUUACUAUUUUUAACUUGAAGAGUUUAUUAAAGUUAGCUGAGUUCUAUCAUGAUGAUUUUAGUUCAACACAAUUGAUUUAUCUUGUCCAUGAACUUUGGAUAUACAUUCACAAUGUCCAAGCGGACCAAAGAUUUGCCAAUUUGGAUGGCAUGGAUGAUCUUUCUAAAGUGUUGGUGGGCACUAGGAAGCAUCUUGUUUUUCCUUUGGUGUAUCAACUUCUAAAGUUUGUGCAAAUUUUGACGGUUGCCACAACGUCAGUGGAGAGAUGCUUUUUUCAGCAAUGA
This 312-nucleotide ribosomal RNA is filed under the name Triticum aestivum (bread wheat). RNAcentral's name for it is "partial small subunit ribosomal RNA". Lineage: Eukaryota; Viridiplantae; Streptophyta; Magnoliopsida; Poales; Poaceae. The record is from RNAcentral.